CCUACGGGAGGCUGCAGUGGGGAAUAUUGGACAAUGGGGGCAACCCUGAUCCAGCCAUGCCGCGUGUGUGAAGAAGGCCCUCGGGUUGUAAAGCACUUUCAGUGAGGAAGAACGCCUGGUGGUUAAUACCCAUCAGGAAAGACAUCACUCACAGAAGAAGCACCGGCUAACUCCGUGCCAGCAGCCGCGGUAAUACGGAGGGUGCGAGCAUUAAUCGGAAUUACUGGGCGUAAAGCGCGCGUAGGUGGCUUGAUAAGCCGGUUGUGAAAGCCCCGGGCUCAACCUGGGAACGGCAUCCGGAACUGUCAAGCUAGAGUGCAGGAGAGGAAGGUAGAAUUCCCGGUGUAGCGGUGAAAUGCGUAGAGAUCGGGAGGAAUACCAGUGGCGAAGGCGGCCUUCUGGACUGACACUGACACUGAGGUGCGAAAGCGUGGGUAGCAAACAGGAUUAGAUACCCUGGUAGUC
RNAcentral lists this ribosomal RNA (465 nucleotides) under Vreelandella stevensii. Its description in RNAcentral is "partial 16S ribosomal RNA". It matches the Rfam family "Bacterial small subunit ribosomal RNA", at positions 338 to 795 of the family's 1533-position model. The record is from RNAcentral. Lineage: Bacteria; Pseudomonadati; Pseudomonadota; Gammaproteobacteria; Oceanospirillales; Halomonadaceae.